AAACACUUCGGCGGUACAUAUACUAAAAUUGGAACGAUACAGAGAAGAUUAGCAUGACCCCUGCGCAAGGAUGACACGCAAAAUCGUGAAGCGUUCCACAUUUUU
Molecule: small nuclear RNA, 105 nt
Filed under: Leptinotarsa decemlineata (Colorado potato beetle)
Lineage: Eukaryota; Metazoa; Arthropoda; Insecta; Coleoptera; Chrysomelidae
Source: RNAcentral